AUUGAACGCUGGCGGCAUGCUUUACACAUGCAAGUCGAACGGUAACAGGUUAAGCUGACGAGUGGCGAACGGGUGAGUAAUGCAUCGGAACGUGCCCGGUCGUGGGGGAUAACGCAGCGAAAGCUGCGCUAAUACCGCAUACGAUCUGAGGAUGAAAGCGGGGGACCGUAAGGCCUCGCGCGAUCGGAGCGGCCGAUGUCAGAUUAGGUAGUUGGUGGGGUAAAGGCUCACCAAGCCAACGAUCUGUAGCUGGUCUGAGAGGACGAACAGCCACACUGGGACUGAGACACGGCCCAGACUCCUACGGGAGGCAGCAGUGGGGAAUUUUGGACAAUGGGCGAAAGCCUGAUCCAGCAAUGCCGCGUGCAGGAAGAGGGCCUUCGGGUUGUAAACUGCUUUUGUACGGAGCGAAAAGGUCUCCUCUAAUACAGGGGGCUCAUGACGGUACCGUAAGAAUAAGCACCGGCUAACUACGUGCCAGCCGCCGCGGUAA
Molecule: ribosomal RNA, 493 nt
Filed under: uncultured bacterium
Lineage: Bacteria
Description: partial 16S ribosomal RNA
Rfam family: Bacterial small subunit ribosomal RNA
Source: RNAcentral